This 253-nucleotide ribosomal RNA is filed under the name uncultured bacterium. Its description in RNAcentral is "partial 16S ribosomal RNA". It matches the Rfam family "Bacterial small subunit ribosomal RNA", at positions 524 to 776 of the family's 1533-position model. The record is from RNAcentral.
UACGGAGGGAGCUAGCGUUGUUCGGAAUUACUGGGCGUAAAGCGCACGUAGGCGGCUUGUUAAGUCAGGGGUGAAAUCCUGGAGCUCAACUCCAGAACUGCCUUUGAUACUGGCGAGCUUGAGUUCGGGAGAGGUGAGUGGAACUGCGAGUGUAGAGGUGAAAUUCGUAGAUAUUCGCAAGAACACCAGUGGCGAAGGCGGCUCACUGGCCCGAUACUGACGCUGAGGUGCGAAAGCGUGGGGAGCAAACAGG